CAAACAUCACAUGCCAUAACUUCAUGAGAUGCUAUGUAGAGACAUGGAAUUUAAUGCGGGGCAGUAGCACAAAUUCUUGAUGAGGAAUUUUACCAUGGCAAUGAGAAGUUUAGAUCUCCAGGAUUUGAACCAAUUGCCUGCUACUAAAGUGCAACUGUACAAAUGUGCCUUAGUGACAGUGUCACCGUACUUUAGAUUAGUUGAAAAUGUUGAUCUUGAGGUUUCUGGGGACAUUCAGAAAUUGGAGAUUACGCAUAAAUGCUGUUCUUGUGUUUCACCUGACAUUGUUUGUCUUGCAUUCAGAAUUCUCUCUCCCUGUGGUGACAGUUGGAACUUAGGUUGGUUGCCACUGAUCUUGUUCACGUGCAUAUUAAAAUUUACCAGAUAGAAUGUGUGAUGGUCUUUUUCUAAAUCCACAGUGCCAAUUUCAUUGUGUUAUCAUUUUCGCUUAUGAAAAGACUGCUAUCACAGAAGCUCUUACAGUAGAGUAAAUUUUGGAUUAUCUGAUAAUGCUGGCAAAUGCAGAGAAGGUGCUUAAAGUGUACAUUAUAAAAACUAAUUAAGGUGUAUUGUGAUAGCUGGUAUAUGACCUAAUAUCCAUGUUUGCUGCAGGUAACCAGGCCCAAGUUAAGUGUGGUAUUCAUGGGGCUAAUGUUAUUUGGAAGUUGUAAAAAUUUUCACCAGAAGUACUCCACAAAGAGAAAAUUAUCUCAUAAAUAUAUUUGUACUGUUUGUAGUAUGUUAAUGAAAGGAGAAGUUUCAGUGUGUGGACUUUAAUUGAAUUAUCAUUGUGUUGAACAGCUUGUAAUGUGAAAGGGGUUACUUUGACAGUUGUUUCCAGUAUCCUUUCCUCAGCCUCAUUGAGAGCCCACUUUGCAGUCUCACCUUUGGCUCUGUACACAUUCCUCCCCAAAAAAUAGGAGAGCUACUAUUCUCAUAUUUGCACUUCUUUUUAUGGGUUUCAGUUUUGUUUGAGUGUGGGUUUCAGUUUUGUUUGAGCUUCCACAGGCCUUAGUCUUCAUGAAUCAAUCAUGUAAUGCUGUGAUCCUUACAGCUUUCACCUUGACUGUAUCACAUUGCAUUGUUCUUCAGGAAUUUCAGUUAUCACUCUUGCGAUUGUUAUUAACAGCUAGUAACUCAUGGUGUUUUGAUAAACACACAGGAGUGCAGUGAAGCAAAAUGAGUAAAUAUUCUAAGGUUGUCUGCUAACUUUCAGAUAAAAAUGAUUAAGAUGAUACAUGUUCUUUGAUCUUUAAGUAGUUCCAGCCUUCCAAAACUUCACCUGCUAAUGUCAGAUGCACGAUAAUAAAUGGGUAAGUGAAAAUUUCCAUGUUAAAAGGAUCUUUGUUUAUAUUGUGUAAGAACACAGUUAACCUAUUGAUGUCAAUGUUGUAUAUAAAUGUAGAGAAAGUACAAUCAGCAAAAAAUAUGUCUGUUCCUACAAGAGGGUGCUAUGUCCUUGAUGUGCUGUAUGUCAUGUUUUAUGAUUACAUUCUAGACAUAAUUUAUAGAAACAAAUUAGACUGCAGUUACAAGAACACAUGCAACAUAUUUGAUAGUGGGAGGCAGCAUAUGCAAAACAAAAGGACUGACCAAAUGAUCCUCUUCUAUGUAAAUUGCUGUAAACUGUAAGAGCAAAGAUUUUAUUUUUGUUAGAUUGAAUGUUAGGUUUUUUCCAAAUAUUGCUAGGAAAUUACAGGCACAUUGAAAACUUUCACACAAGAUGGAAAUGUAAAUGAGCAGUAAGGUAGGAAAACACUUUCGUCAAAUUUGUGAACUUACUUUAAAACAGGCAUUAAUGAAAGGUUGUUUUUAAUAUACUUUUCUUGUAAUUGUAAUCUGCUUGCUUCCUGUUUAUAUUCUGUCAAAUGUUUUUGAAGUUGCAUUUUGUCAUGCAGUGAGGUAACAAAUUUUAAAUUUAAUUGUGAUUUAUGUAUUUCUUUCCCAAUUGUGAUGCAGACUGUUUCUAAACAGGGCACCUCAUUCACAGAAAAAAAGAGAGCAAAUUAUACAGAUGUCUUAAUUAUAGUAUGGGGAAUGCUGUGGAUUGGAGGUAAAGCACUUACCACACAAUUAUUAAAAAAAAUGGUAAUUGAGUCCUGGAGAUAAAAUGACAGUGAAAUAUAUGUUGCAAUAAUAAAUCUGUCAACUAUUUGUAAAAACUCGUGCAUGUUUCAAAGUCAGAGCUAGGUCUUGAGGCCUUCCCGUAUCUUAUACAGCAACUCCCUUGCUUUUUAGUGAGGUAGCUGUUACCAAUGAUGGCUGGAUUAUUUAGUUAGUGGGAAUACAAGUGUGGAACAAUGUAGCCAAACAAAAUGUAAAAAGUGUUCUGUGAAUAUUGUUAUAUGCCAUCAAACUAAAUAUAGUGACAUUUCUUGCCAAGGUAACAUUCAAGCCUAGGCUCAGAACUCAAUGUUUGAAUGGAUUUGUCUCUUGUGACUGUGUAUGUUAGUUCUAUCUUGGACACAAUAAGUAAACUUUAUUUUUGCUGCCGAACAUGCCUAUUCCAUUUUGAAGUGGAUGUAUGUCAUAUUAUGUAAAAAUAUUUCCCAGAAUUAUGAAAGAAUAUUACCUUUAUCCUCAUUGCUUAUUUGCGGUCCCAAUUAUAGUCAGCUACUGCAACAGAAUGCAUUCUCCUUCUAGUUAAACUUGCACAGAAAUUUUAGUAGUCUGUUUUGCAUGUCUGCUCCUCACUAUCCAAUUAAAUCGGACUAUAAAUCUUUAAGCAAGUUCCAUGCAUCAGUUGGUUUUAAACAAUCCAUUUCAUGUGCUGAAUGUUGCUCUUUCUGUAUUUGGUACCAACACGUUAUUCAUCACUUCCUCUUUCCUCAUGAAAUGUUUCACUUUGAUUUAUUUUCAAUAUAAUAAUCAUGCUGUGUGGUUGUCAUUUUUGCUAAGCAUCGAGCGGUUCUAGGUGCUACAGUCGGGAACCGCGCGACCGCAACGGUUGCAGGUUCGAAUCCUGCCUCAGGCAUGGAUGUGUGUGAUGUCCUUAGGUUGGUUAGGUGUAAGUAAUUCUAAGUUCUAGGGGACUGAUGACCUCAGAAAUGAAGUCCCAUAGUGCUCAGAGCUGUUUGAACCAUUUUUGCUAAGCAUUAACAAAGUUUUUUGUACAACAUCCUCAUGUGCUUUAAAAAGCAGCUCAUUGCGCGACAAAAUUUUUUUAAAAAUAUUUAUUAGUUGUGCACCAUUUGCACAAAAUACGUUGUUGCCAAGAAUGUUGAAGCAUCACUUUCUGAAUCAUUAUUUCUUAUUUCUUUACUAUGUAUAUUCUCUCUCCAGACUUUUAUCUUAUGGGGGUUAAUUAUGAGACUGAAUGUGUCCUGGAGGAAAGCUUUGGCUAAUUGAUUAUGAUUCAUAUUUGUUAUUAGAGAAGUUUUUCUUUCGUACCAAAUUUUCAGUACUUAGUCGUAUCACACAUUCAAACUGUUUUUCGGUAUUUGUGUGUUCCAUAUAAAUAUAUGUGUUUAGUUCCUAAAUUUGAGUUUGAGAUGAUAAUGUGCUAAAAUAAAAUGUAGUCAACCACUUUCAUGAACUGCGAACAUGAAGAGAUAAAGGGUUUCACUGGUAACAAAUACAGCGCUCAUUAAUCAAAUUCUGAUGUGUGCCAUGCGAAGAGUGAUAUGAGUAAAGCCAAGUGCUGUACAGAGGAAAGUGAACAGUGGAAUAUGUCACCCAAACGUUUAUGUGCUUAUCCACUGCUAAACUCUUCCUCUGCAUGGGGAAAGUUCUGUUGUACAUGCCAAAAUAAAAAGUGGCUUUCUAAUUUUUUUUAUUUUUUUGUUCUGUUUCAUUCACCAGGUUAUUUUGUUCCAUUUGUUGCUAUUCUAAUACAAGACUUUUAUGGAUAAUUAAAACAAAAAGUGUUGCUUCAGUUACAUAAUGCAAAUAAGCUUUAAAUGUGCAUGAAGACUUUUGGAAUACAUACUACAUAUAUGUGAACUGCAAGUGAAAUAUUCAGUAUUUUUAUAACAUUUUGAUGCUUCUUGGAGCUCAUUAGCAAAAGAAAAAAAUGGACUUUUAGUAAUAUGCAGUGCAUGUGUUAGUCAUAUUCAUAAUUUUUUUUUAUGAGCCUAGAUAAGACUACUGUUCAAAUGAUUCCUGAAGGGGCAUUUGUUACUGGCAAUAACCUUUUCACAUUUUAUAGGAGACAAAAAUGACUGUUACAUACAUAGUUGAUUGCUUCCUUGAUCUUUUCCUGAGCCAUUGGAGAAUCAGAGAUGAUGGAUGCUUCAUUACAGGAGACAAAAUGUGCUUCAACUAAGAAUCAAGAGGGCAACACUUUCUCACAAGUUGUGUGCAACAUCAGACGACAUGCACCUGCAUUGUAUGUUUUAAUGAUGCCAUUUUCUGGAUGAGCGAAUUGCAACGGAAGUAGUAAAGAGCAGGGAGGUGCAGAUUCUCUGAUCUUCAGUGAGGAUGCCUACAUAAUUCCACAAAUAAUAGUUACUUGCCAUGGUGGUAUUAUUGUUAAUGUUAGAAAAAUUUUCCAGUGAAAAUUACUGUGUUGCUGUCAUUUUAAACUGCUGUAUAAGACAAUAAAAUAAAUGGCAGUAAGAAAUUAAA
Schistocerca cancellata (South American locust) is the source of this 4566-nucleotide long non-coding RNA. RefSeq lists it as uncharacterized. The record is from RefSeq and is a predicted model, not a curated record. The transcript is spliced from 3 exons. Lineage: Eukaryota; Metazoa; Arthropoda; Insecta; Orthoptera; Acrididae.